ACGCUGGCGGCGUGCCUAAUACAUGCAAGUAGAACGCUGAAGCUUGGUGCUUGCACCGAGCGGAUGAGUUGCGAACGGGUGAGUAACGCGUAGGUAACCUACCUCUUAGCGGGGGAUAACUAUUGGAAACGAUAGCUAAUACCGCAUAAAAGUCGACAUUGCAUGAUGUUGACUUGAAAGGUGCAACUGCAUCACUAAGAGAUGGACCUGCGUUGUAUUAGCUAGUUGGUGAGGUAACGGCUCACCAAGGCGACGAUACAUAGCCGACCUGAGAGGGUGAUCGGCCACACUGGGACUGAGACACGGCCCAGACUCCUACGGGAGGCAGCAGUAGGGAAUCUUCGGCAAUGGACGGAAGUCUGACCGAGCAACGCCGCGUGAGUGAAGAAGGUUUUCGGAUCGUAAAGCUCUGUUGUAAGAGAAGAACGAGUGUGAGAGUGGAAAGUUCACACUGUGACGGUAACUUACCAGAAAGGGACGGCUAACUACGUGCCAGCAGCCGCGGUAAUACGUAGGUCCCGAGCGUUAUCCGGAUUUAUUGGGCGUAAAGCGAGCGCAGGCGGUUAGAUAAGUCUGAAGUUAAAGGCUGUGGCUUAACCAUAGUACGCUUUGGAAACUGUUUAACUUGAGUGCAGAAGGGGAGAGUGGAAUUCCAUGUGUAGCGGUGAAAUGCGUAGAUAUAUGGAGGAACACCGGUGGCGAAAGCGGCUCUCUGGUCUGUAACUGACGCUGAGGCUCGAAAGCGUGGGGAGCAAACAGGAUUAGAUACCCUGGUAGUCCACGCCGUAAACGAUGAGUGCUAGGUGUUGGGUCCUUUCCGGGACUCAGUGCCGUAGCUAACGCAUUAAGCACUCCGCCUGGGGAGUACGACCGCAAGGUUGAAACUCAAAGGAAUUG
RNAcentral lists this ribosomal RNA (897 nucleotides) under uncultured bacterium. RNAcentral describes it as "bacterial SSU rRNA". It matches the Rfam family "Bacterial small subunit ribosomal RNA", at positions 33 to 912 of the family's 1533-position model. The record is from RNAcentral.